CAAAGAAACGACGGCGAGAGGUGGAGCCGCUGAGCUGACAACUGUCAAAAGACUAAGAGCCCUUCCGUCCUCAAAGCAUCUUGUCGUAGCGCGUUAGAAACCGUUAUACGCCACGUGAUUGAAGUGAGUAUCCUGUAUCUCGUGAGUGUAACGACGUCUCUGUCGCUAUUCCGUUAUCUCGGAGCCGUUUCGGAUGAGCGGUUCGCACUUUGGCAGGUUUUAACGGACUGCAUGUCUUCCUGGAGACCCACUGAGAAGAGAUGUCAAGGCGAAGCACAAGGUUAGUGUCCAAAGAGCCGUCCUUCCCUGAUGAUGACGCUGCCAGCACGAGCUCCACCGGAUCCACUGGCCACAUCACUUACAAAGAGAGCCCAACCAGGAUCUUCAAGAAGAGGAGUGGCCGCAAGAGCACAGGCAGUGUUUCCCGCAAUUCAAGCCGCGCGAGCAGUGUGAGUCAGUUACUGACUGGGCAGCGCAGUGAAUUCACUGCCGCUGAGAAUGAGAAUGGUAAGUAUCUGCACAUACAGAAUCUGUAAAAAUAAAUAAAUAUUA
This 552-nucleotide long non-coding RNA is filed under the name Sinocyclocheilus grahami. RNAcentral's name for it is "lncRNA (ENSSGRG00000042890.1)". The record is from RNAcentral. Lineage: Eukaryota; Metazoa; Chordata; Actinopteri; Cypriniformes; Cyprinidae.